This 5610-nucleotide long non-coding RNA is filed under the name Taeniopygia guttata (zebra finch). Its description in RNAcentral is "lncRNA (ENSTGUG00000022935.1)". Lineage: Eukaryota; Metazoa; Chordata; Aves; Passeriformes; Estrildidae. The record is from RNAcentral.
AACAGCAGCUCUGUCCUCCCCCAGUGCUCAGCAGGGACUUCUUGGUGACCUGUGCCAGCCUGGAACUGUAAAUCGUUCAUGAGCAAAGUUGUUCCUGGUGUUUGCGCUCCGGGAUCAUGAAGAGGUCCCAGAAAACCUCUUCAUUCUUUUCCAGGCCCUUCAAACACUGAGCAAGGAGACCAAGAGAGGAUUUCAGUGUUGGUAACAUCUGUAACUUGCAGCUGGGCUGACCCCCACCAUCAGUCCUAAACAAGACUCUUAAAUUAACUGUGUGUAUUUUGGAAUUUAACAAAAUCCUGAGGUUUUCCCUCACCAUUUUUGACAAGAGCCUGAACACAGUAGCCCUGAAUUGUCUGGGUAAUGCUUUGCUUUGCUGAGCUUAAAAUAAAGUCACUGAUCGAGGGAAUUUUCACUCCCUGUUUGACCAAACCCUUCUUUCAUAGGCAGUAGAGAGAAAUCUUAAAGAUUUUCUUUUCUUCCACAGUUCUAAAAGGCCAGUUUGUAGAUAGAGUGCAAAUAUAGAUCAGAUGGAUAUUCUAAAGCCACAUGGCUCUUUUUGUAAGUUGUUCCUUUAAUGGCAACAGAAGAGCAAAUGUUCUCAUGAAGUAUUCACAGAAAGUGAAUUAUUCUGAAGGACAUUGUAUAUCUUAGGAAGUUGUGCACAAAAUGUAGAGUUUCUAAAUAAAAUAAUUGUCUGGGGUCCUUACACAACAUCAGAUAUUAGAAACCUGUGAUUGAUUCAUGGUAGUAGAAAUCAAGUUACUGCUAAUCUAAUUAUUGUCCUUGCUGUUACUUUAAGAUGACCACUUGCACAUUUAUUGUUGAUUUUUGUAACACCCCAUAGAAGCUGCUUGGUGCACUCUGGGAGAAUUUGGGAUAAACAGAUACCUGAAAUAUCUUGAAGCCUAGUGCUGGGAAAGGAAUGGAAAAUGGUUUCUUCUAUUUUUAUGUAGUUCUCCACAUCUUAAAGCAAAUACUCAGUGCAUGAAUGAUCAUAAUUGUUGUUGUGCAUUGGCAGUUGUCAGCUGGGAAUGCACAGCUGGAACAGCUGCAUGUGCAAGCCAGGACCAGCUCAGGUUACUGGGGAGUAGCCUGGGGGCUGAAGAGCAAGAUCAUGUCAUGUUAUGUUGAGGAGGAUUGAUGUACCAUAAUGUCAUUUUCUAAAAAUACAGGAUUCAAUUUUACAUUGUGGUAUGCACAAGGAAUGGAUCAUUUAUGUCUUGGCAUACUUGAUGUUGCACUGCCCAGUGGAAGAAAACUGUCAUCCCUUUUCUUCAGAAAAUGGCACUUCUGUCUCUUCAGUGAAAUGUCCUUAAUUUUCAGGCACGGUAGUGGCUUCACUGUAGUGCUCUUAAGUUUGAAACUAUAUUUCUCUUGCCCUAUGUGAUGUCCUGAAAUUCCACAUCCUGAGUUCUGUUUUCUAUAUAAAGUAAGUGAGGAAAAAAGUGCAACCAAAAAUCCCUCUGUUUGAAAUUAAAGCCCCUGUAAAAAAACACUCUGAGGCUCGUGUUUGUUGUGGCUGGGUCACAGCUGCACUGGUGCUGCAUUGGUGCUGCACAGAGCCUGGAGAGCCACUGUGCCAUGGUUUGGGAAUGGGGAGGUAUCCCUGGCCCAAGUCCUCAAAUGAGCAAGUUGAGAAGUGGCAGGUGAUGAGUGAAAUUCAGUUUAUGUGUUUGGGAUUUUGAGAAGAUCAGCUUCACAGAACAGAGUAAUUGUGUUUCCACUGCUCAAAUCUGCUGAACUAUAAAAAUUGGUUGAUUAAUGGGUUGGGGUUUUUUACUGAAUAAAUGAAGACUAUUUUUAAAAUAACACAAGUGAGAGCCAGCUAGGAAUCUUGCACGUGGUGCUCCAGUGAGCACGCACCUGCACGCUUGCCGAGUGACUGUGUGCCUGUCACUCUGCCAUUUCCUGUGGCUUCAGUUCCUGUUCAAGAACUAAUUUCACAUUUGUACUUGAAGAGUAGAACUUCAAAACCUUUACUGAACUUCCACAUAGAUCUCUUUGCCUCCCAGUCCAGGCCUGAGCUUGUCCUGAAGCCUCUGCAGAGUGAAAAGUACAAAAGGGACGCAGGGUCUGUGAGCACAGAAAUGAGGUUGCUUUUCCUUGGAGUAAACUUGAACUUUGGAUCUUUCCUCCUGUGAUCUGUCAUUAGAAAAUGGCCUUUUCCAGAGAGGAAAACAAAAGAAGUUAAGAAAACAAAUGAAUUAAGAAGAAUUAAUUGAAGCUGUGUAUUACAAGUUGACAUUAUACAUCUGGCAUUUCUGUUUAUGUUUCUGCAUUGGUACAUUUCAUUCUGAUUUAAUAAGUUCCUAAUUUUGUGGGAUUUUUUUUCAAGAUUCUGAAGUGCCUAUGAAGAACAGCCCAUAGUAAAGUAUUGUUCCCAGUUUAGCUGUACUUCAUUUUUUUAAUCAAAUCUUUUUCUUUAGUGGAUAAACUCACAAGAUUAGAAAAGCCUCUUGAACUCCCUCAUGUUUAGUUUGGCAAAUGUCCCACACACAAUUACCCACAGAGAGCUACUUUUAAAAGACCGUUAUUGGGGCUGUACAAAGUCAAGCACUCAGGAGGUAGGAAAUGGCAGAACCAGGUUUGUGCUCCAUGAGUUUGGGGAGUACAUUGCAGUGUCUGAUCAUUUCAUGAUCAAAAAUUGAGCUGACACUGCUCAGAAAUUGUCCAAAACUGCCCAGCCUUAUGAGCCUGGACUUGGAGAACCCCAAUUUCUCUCAAGUUACAUAUAAAUAGGUUUUUAAAAGUUGAACUUCCAGCGUGGCACUGUGGUGUUGGGUGUAACCCGUGUGUGUGCUGGGGGAAUUCUUUGUGUUCUGUGUGUGGAUCCCCGUUCUUGACCUGAGCUCCUGGCGUGGUGGGGAGGAACUCGAAGCUGAAACAGCAAUUUCUGUUUCCACAUUUCACUGGGAGGCCACACACAAGUGUGAUUGGAGCCAGGAAUCUCUGCCUCGGUGAGAGCCCAGAGGAGCAUUUCUGUGGGGGCUGGAGGCUCUGUUGCCCAAUCUCCCUCCUGCUCUGUUCUGCCUGAGCUGUCAGAUCUCACUCCAUUCCCUCCCUCAGCGCUUUGGUCCAGGCCAAGUCAUCCUUGUUCCUUCCCUGCUCCUUGGCAAGGAAAGCCUUGUUCAGCCGAGCAUCUUUCAAUGGCUUUUCUUCCCUGCUGCCUCUUUUCCAUCUGGGUCUCUUUCUUCCAUCACCCUUCCAGGCUUGCUCUUCCCUCCUGCCUGUCCCAGCCGCUGGCCCAGGGAGCCUGGGCUGCCUGGCAGGGCUGUGCCUUGGCAUGGAGAUCUGAGUGCUCCUGGAUGCCUUUCCCCAUCCCACACAGCCACUCACCUCCUGCUUCCUCUUUGUUUCUCGUCCUCUUCACUCUUCACGGAGUUUGGAGCAGCAAGCCUUGUCACCCAUCUCCUUUCUGUCUCCUGCUUCCUCCUGCUGCUCCAGUGCAGUGGAUUUAUUUAGUGUGGGACACACUUUUAUAUUCCAUGUGGAUUGUUUCUCAAACAAAGCAGUAGCACAAUGAUGUUUUUUUGUUUCAUUUUAUCUGGGAAAUCUAGAAUGCAUAAAUUUGAACAGGGAGUCAUGAAGGUGGUUAAUUGGAAAAAGAAGUUGCUGUUAAUUGAGCUGUGUGUCAGACCCAGGACUUUUUGUCUGGCAGACUUGGCUCACGCUUUAAAUUUCUGCACCUGCUAAAGAAGCAGAAAAUUGGAAAGGCAGCUUGUCUGAGGAGAUCGUGAUAUUAAAGAAGGUACCGAAGGCUCAGUCACAGUGCAGGAAGCCAGAAAAUUGUUUAAGAGACUUGGAAAAUUAGUUUAUUUUUGCUUUUUGGAGUGGUUAAAAAUAAUUAAUCUUUUAAAAAAUUAUUCUAAGAGAAGUGAACAUGGAAGAGUUUACUAAGAUACAUGUGCCUGUUACCAUCAACUUCCAGCACAUGCUGGUUUGGGUUUUCUACACAGGGACAGUAAAAACAUAUUUAUUUGUUUUGUGGUAGAAAGGAAUUCAAUAGUCAGGAUUAAAGCUCCUGGUCUGUAUCCUAGACCUGCUUUUCUGAAGCACUGUUAGACAUGAAGGAUGAAAUUAUUUGGUUUAUCUUGUUUAUGCCAGAUAAAGAUAAAUGAAUGUCAGAAAUGAGGUUGGGAUCCUGAUUGCAGUGGAGCUCAGAAAACAGCCAUGUGAGCUGCUAAUAAAUGUAAUUGGUGCUUCAAAAGGGCAUAGCUGAGUGAAUUUCAUAUCAGAUCUGGGAGUGGGGAGGAAAUUAGAUGAAAAACUGAAGUAGAAUUGACAGUUUUCUAACUGAAAGGUAUUAAAUGGCCAAAAACACAAUAAUUUUGCAAUUGAGAAGGGGGACAACUUUGGCUAACUGCCCAUCCUACUUCAGUGAUGAAAUGAGGGGAAAAACUAGAUGGAAAGUAAUACAAAACAAAUCAGAAAAAGGGAAGCAGACAGCAAUCCAUUCAAAAUGGGAGUUAGGAAAUGUAGAAAAUAAAGCACAACCCAGAGCAAAAGCAAAAUGUGGGUUGGGGUGCUUGGAGAGGGUGAUGAGGAGCUGAAGUUCAGAGGAAAUAUGCAAUAGAAUCAGAACUGUUAAGGAAUAGAUGCAGGAGGCAAAAUCUAAGGAUGAUGUAAGAGAGCUGGAAAUGUGAUGUCAUUCCUUAGCAAUGCUCAGGAUUAAAAAUUAACAGUUUUUAAUUCAGGAGGCCCAGAAACCUUGAUCAGUGUUUGCAAAGGAGGAGUCUGGGGCAAUGUCUGAGCUGCUGCCGGGGGUGGACAGUGGGUCAGGACAGUGGGACACCGUGGAAAGGGCUGGAAAAGGAGAUGGAUGUUCCUGACAGGGCUUGUUUUAAAUCCUCUUCAUUCAGUAUUUUGGGUUUCAGUUCUCUUUGGGAUCAGAGUGAGCUGGGUCUGUCAGGGCCCUGCAGAGCUCUGUUCCCUGACAAUCACACACGGCUGCAGCUCAAAGAGAACCACCAUGAAAUGGGGAUGCCCAAAGAAGGGUUCUGCAGGUACCUGGCAGAUUCAGUGGUUCCAGAUCACUGAGGAGCAGAUAGACAAACUCACUGCUGAUAAAACAUUACAGAAAUAUCCAUAGCCAGGACCAGAAUGAAUAACAGCUCCAUGUACAUUCCCAGUGCAGUCCCAGGGUAAAAGCCUAAUGAAUACGAAUGUGUUCUUAUUUUUAAUUACUGUUAGCUGUAAGUGAUUAUCCUUCUUUAUGUCUCAGCUGGGAGAGUUGGGAAUUUUGGAUGCAAUUUGGAUAUUUACAUUCUACAAGAGAAGCUGAGUAAUUGGAAUGGAUGCAAAAAAUAUGAUUCAGAAAUUACUGGUGGAGUGUGAAAAUGCCUUAGAGAGGGUGAGAGAAAACUCAGUUGGCUGAGUUUUUCUACCAGAACUGAGACUGUCUUGAUUCCAGUGCACUAGUACCUUCACAGGCAGAAAAUACUGCACACUGCAGCUCUCUGAUCUUAAAAAGCAACACAAGAAUCACCAACUGGCAGUCAAAGCCAGGCAAAUUCGAAUUGGAAAAAGGCACAAAUUCUUAAGAGAGAAUAACUGUGUAAUUUAGGAAUGUGUCUUCAAAAACUGUGAACAGAACAAUAAAAGUUAUGAUAU